RNAcentral lists this ribosomal RNA (1476 nucleotides) under uncultured microorganism. Its description in RNAcentral is "bacterial SSU rRNA". It matches the Rfam family "Bacterial small subunit ribosomal RNA". The record is from RNAcentral.
AGAGUUUGAUCAUGGCUCAGGAUGAACGCUGGCGGCGUGCCUAAUACAUGCAAGUCGAACGGACAGAGACGCAAGUUUCUGUGAGUGGCGAACGGGUGAGUAACGCGUGGGUGACCUGCCCCGAAGUGUGGGAUAACAGCUCGAAAGGGCUGCUAAUACCGCAUGCGGUCCUUCUGAUUAGAAGGGAAGGACGAAAGGGAGCAUUCUUUGAAUGCUUCCGUUUUGGGAGGGGCCUGCGUCCCAUCAGCUAGUUGGUCGGGUAAAAGCCUACCAAGGCGACGACGGGUAGGGGGCCUGAGAGGGUGGCCCCCCACACUGGCACUGAAACACGGGCCAGACACCUACGGGUGGCAGCAGUAGGGAAUAUUGCACAAUGGGCGCAAGCCUGAUGCAGCAACGCCGCGUGCGCGAUGAAGGCCUUCGGGUCGUAAAGCGCUUUUCGGGGAGAGGAGGAAGGACCGUAUCCCCGGAAUAAGUCUCGGCUAACUACGUGCCAGCAGCCGCGGUAAAACGUAGGAGGCAAGCGUUAUCCGAAUUUACUGGGCGUAAAGCGCGUGCAGGCGGCAGGGGAAGUUGGAUGUGAAAGCUCCCGGCUCAACUGGGAGAGGACGUCCAAGACUCCUCAGCUGGAGGGCGGUAGAGGGAGGUGGAAUUCCCGGUGUAGUGGUGAAAUGCGUAGAUAUCGGGAGGAACACCAGAGGCGAAGGCGGCCUCCUGGACCGUACCUGACGCUCAGACGCGAAAGCUAGGGGAGCGAACGGGAUUAGAAACCCCGGUAGUCCUAGCCGUAAACGAUGUGGACUAGGUGUGGGUGGGGUAAAAGCCAUCGGCGCCGCAGCCAACGCGAUAAGUCCACCGCCUGGGGACUACGGCCGCAAGGUUAAAACUCAAAGGAAUUGACGGGGGCCCGCACAAGCAGCGGAGCGUGUGGUUUAAUUCGAUGCUACACGAAGAACCUUACCCGGGCUUGACAUGCAGGUAGUAGGGAGGCGAGAGCCGACCGACCCUUCGGGGAGCCUGCACAGGUGCUGCAUGGCUGUCGUCAGCUCGUGUCGUGAGAUGUCCGGUUAAGUCCGGUAACGAGCGCAACCCUCGCCCUAGGUUACAAGUGUCGUAGGGUACUGCCGGUAUCAAGCCGGAGGAAGGUGGGGAUGACGUCAAGUCAGCAUGGCCUUUAUGUCCGGGGCUACACACACGCUACAAUGGCCGGUACAAUUGGUUGCAAAGCCGCGAGGCAGAGCCAAUCCAGAAAGCCGGUCUCAGUUCAGAUUGCAGGCUGCAACCCGCCUGCAUGAAGUCGGAGUUGCUAGUAACCGCGCGUCAGCUACAGUGCGGUGAAUACGUUCCCGGGCCUUGUACACACCGCCCGUCACGUCAUGGGAGCUGGUAACACCUGAAGCCGGUAGCCUAACCCGCAAGGGCAGGCGCUGUCGAAGGUGGGGCUGGUGACUGGGACGAAGUCGUAACAAGGUAACC